UGGGGAAUUGUUCACAAUGGGCGCAAGCCUGAUGACGCAACGCCGCGUGGGGGAUGAAGGUCUUCAGAUUGUAAACCCCUGUCGAAUGGGACGAAUGGCCUCUGGGCUAAUCACCGGAGGAAUGACGGUACCGUUAAAGGAAGCCACGGCUAACUCUGUGCCAGCAGCCGCGGUAAUACAGAGGUGGCAAGCGUUGUUCGGAAUUACUGGGCGUAAAGGGCGCGUAGGCGGCCAUCUAAGUCAGACGUGAAAUCCCCCGGCUUAACCUGGGAACUGCGUCUGAUACUGGACGGCUUGAGUAUGGGAGAGGGAUGUAGAAUUCCAGGUGUAGCGGUGAAAUGCGUAGAUAUCUGGAGGAAUACCGGUGGCGAAGGCGGCAUCCUGGACCAUUACUGACGCUGAGGCGCGAAAGCUAGGGGAGCAAACGGGAUUAGAUACCCCGGUAGUCCUAGCCCUAAACGAUGAAUACUUGGUGUGGCGGGUAUCGAUCCCUGCCGUGCCGAAGCUAACGCAUUAAGUAUUCCGCCUGGGGAGUACGGUCGCAAGGCUGA
Molecule: ribosomal RNA, 551 nt
Filed under: uncultured Acidobacteriota bacterium
Lineage: Bacteria; Pseudomonadati; Acidobacteriota
Description: bacterial SSU rRNA
Rfam family: Bacterial small subunit ribosomal RNA
Source: RNAcentral